Molecule: long non-coding RNA, 718 nt
Organism: Belonocnema kinseyi
Lineage: Eukaryota; Metazoa; Arthropoda; Insecta; Hymenoptera; Cynipidae
Exons: 4
Source: RefSeq, a predicted model, not a curated record
GUACAACGUUGCCAAACUGCCCGUCAAUUUUCGCCAAUAAGUUGACCUUCACGACUUCAAAAUGAAUUAAUAUAUAUUAAUUGGUGCUUUGCGAAAAUAGAAAAGCAAGUAAGCUGUGUGGGGAUAAAAUUUAUAAUCCUCAAGGCAAAUUUACUCGGCCUGUUGAUUCAAAGCGGUUGUAGCUGGCAGAGUGGCGGCACGCAGUCUACGCCUUUCCUAUCAUGAGCGCAUACCACUGAAACCUAUACACGGAUAGAUGUAUGUACAUAUUUCUGUACUCGCCCUAGCGAAAGACACGAACGAAUCAUCGGUGUGAUCAAAAAUUGGCUUGUUAAUCAAAGAUGGCUUCAAUUGAAUUGGUAUCUGAAAUUCUAGAAUAUUCGGAGGACUGGGCAAGAAUAUUGAAAUCGAUUUCGAGCGAGACAAAAAAAUCCACAAAGUGAUCACUAAGGUUUUCAAGAUGCAUUCUCUGAAUUUUAGUAGAAUGCCUACGUGGGAAAUGGAACGUACGGAGGAACAUGAAACUCAAAGUCAAACUAAAUUUUAUGGGCGGACGGAAAUCUGUUUCAUCUGUUUCCCAUAUCCUGAGAAAAGAGGUUCACUUCCUUUCCUUGAAGUAAAUUAAUAACUUCUCCUUGGUCUUGCAAUUAGACUCGGCAUUUAAAAAAACUCAUAUUCAUAAUGAUUAUUGUAAUUUAUUUCGUUAAAUAUUAAUCAG